Astatotilapia calliptera (eastern happy) is the source of this 1042-nucleotide long non-coding RNA. The record is from Ensembl. NCBI's taxonomy places the organism in Eukaryota, Metazoa, Chordata, Actinopteri, Cichliformes, Cichlidae.
UGAAUAUAUCUCUACUUGCAGGCUCUGUUCCUUUAUCCUUCAAACACGCUGUUGUCCAGCCCGUACUUAAAAAAAGAAACAUUGAUCAUAAGGGGGCGAUCGUGGCUCAAGAGUUAGGAGUUCGCCUUGUAAUCGGAAGGUUGCCGGUUCGAGCCCCGGCUUGGACAGUCUUGGUCGUUGUGUCCUUGGGCAAGACACUUCACCCGUUGCCUACUGGUGGUGGUCAGAGGGCCCGGUGGCGCCAGUGUCCAGCAGCCUCGCCUCUGUCAGUGCGCCCCAGGGUGGCUGUGGUUACAAUGUAGCUUACCAUCACCAGUGUGCGAAUGUGUGUGUGAAUGGGUGGAUGACUGGAUAUGUAAAGCGCUUUGGGGUCCUUAGGGACUAGUAAAGCGCUAUAUAAAUACAGGCCAUUUACCAUAACGAUCUUGGGGAACUAUAGACCGAUCUCUAAGCUUCCAUUCCUGUCCAAAAUACUGGAGAGGAUUGUUCUUUCACAACUCCAGCCGUAUUUGGAUACGAAUGCCAUUUAUGAUAAAUUUCAGUCUGCUUACAAACCCUGUUAUUAGGGCUGCAUGAUUAAUCGUUAGAAAAUCGCGAUCUCGAUUCAUACUUAUGUGCGAUCUCAUUUCCAAAUGACAACGAUUUAAAAAAGAAAAAGAAAAAAAAAGACAACGACGAUUGUACCGCAUUUUGAUCCGGGACGUACUCUGCAUGAAAACAAGCGCUCACUCUUCCUGCUCAACAAAUGACAAGGGCGGAGCCUUAUACCACGUGAUACAGAAGCUGUGGUGUGAUGCUAAAAUUAGCAGGGAAAAAACAACGGAGAGCACGUCAGGGAUGACGAGAAAGUGACAGGAGAAAAUCCGUCCCGGACAACCACCCAAACAUCAAUAACGGGAACCUUAUACAGCGCUUCCCUAUACCCGUUGAACUUCCGCAGGCACAAAGAAAUUACGGAGGCUAUCACUCAUCACCUGACCAAAGAUAUGGCUCCCAUCAACACUGUGCAAAACGAGGGAUUUAGGAAAAUGAUCAACACCCU